AAAACACAUGCUGACAAUAACUUUUCCUCCAUUUGGAAAUCACAUGGCAAAUUUAUACUCUUUCCACACCAACCUGGACAACAUGGUGAAACCCCAUCUCUAAAAAAUAAAAAUAAAAAAAUACCAGAAAUUUGUCAGGGCACGGUGCUAUGCUCCUGUAGUCCCAGCUAAUCAAGAGGCUGAGGCAGGAGCCACUGCACCCUGCCACCUUUUUUUUUUUUUUUCCUAAGAACUGAUG
Molecule: long non-coding RNA, 238 nt
Filed under: Homo sapiens (human)
Lineage: Eukaryota; Metazoa; Chordata; Mammalia; Primates; Hominidae
Description: non-protein coding lnc-DRD5-26:1
Source: RNAcentral